RNAcentral lists this unclassified non-coding RNA (544 nucleotides) under Hevea brasiliensis (rubber tree). Lineage: Eukaryota; Viridiplantae; Streptophyta; Magnoliopsida; Malpighiales; Euphorbiaceae. The record is from RNAcentral.
AAAAAUAAAAUUAAAAAAAAAAAAGGUGAGAGGGCUUCAAUAGAAACUCGGCCAAAGUUGGAGGACUUCUUGUGUAGUUAUUCUUUCAUGUUUCAUACUCAAUUGAUGUAGGGUUUUCUUCCUCACUGGCAUUACUAGAUAUAGACAGGUAAUGAAAUAGUAAAAUAAGAAUGUAUCAGUCAGAUGUACCAAUUAUAUGUUUGUCCUGAUUUUUACUUUAGAAAGGGAAAAAGAAAGAUUUUAGAAAAUUACAAACACAGUAAAUGAAUAUAUCACGUGGAACCUAGGAUUGGUGUGGUUGGAGAUGAAUUGGAAGUCCUUGGGAUGGUGCCAGCUUGGGUUCAUAUCCAAAUUUCUCAUUAGGUAUCAGUACAUCCCAUUUGAAUAUUCUCACAAUGUUAUGCAAGAAAAAAAGUAUCUCUAGGCGUGCAAACUCAUGCCCCAAGCACAUCCUUGGCCCCCCUCCAAAGGGAACAUAUGAAUGAGUAGAUUCUUCUGCAAACCUUGAAGCAUCAAAACCUUCUGGAUUUGGAAAAAGAGCUGG